AUCAGGUAAGUAAAGUUAGCUAGCUAGCUAGCUACCGUUACUUCUAAAUCAACCACAUCGCUCGUUUUAGCCAACAAGAUAACGCUACUAACAUCUAACUUAUUGAGAUAUAUGUAUAAUAUCUGUACCAGAUUCAAACUAACGUUAAUGUUAGCUAACGUUAACUUACCAGGGUUCAGUUUUGCUAAUGUUGCAUUGUCUUGCUAGUAACAGGCUAGUAAAACACACGAUGAAAGCCCUGACUUUGUCCCAUCAGUCUUUUCCUACUCAACCCAGCAGUGUGACAACAAACGUGCUGCAAAACUUGAGAGGUAACAUUAAAUCACUUUCCGAUGUUGCUCACUUGGAUCACGUAACGUGCAAAUAAUGGCAUCAAUAAUGGCAAUUAUUACCUACUAGACCAAAUCGUUUGUUAUGUCUGCAUAGUCUAAGCCAGUUGAGUCAUGCACUUUACACUUGACUUGAUUUGGGAACAUGAUUAGCCCUUAUGGUUAACUUUGGAAAUUAAUUUUGUACUGACCCUGCUCUCUUCUCUGAGUAUUGGGUUUAAGAGAAUAAGAAAAAGGGAUGACAGCACCCACAGACCAGCAGGUGGACCCCAGUCCCACUCCACCCCCAGGUCAGAUGGAUGCCAGUUCACCCACAGAUCCACAGAUGAUUCACACCAGUCCACAGCCGUCAUUGAUGAGGUUCCAAAUGAUGACAGAAUGGAGCCCGUUGCUGGUCCUUGCACUGAAGCCACGGUCCCAAAGGUUCUACAUUAACUAGAAUUGUCUUGUUAACUAAAAUUAAAUAGCUCUUGUUGCCUUGAUCAUUUAUGUACUCCUAUUCUCACCCUCCAUUCCCAUCCAGACCAGGC
Molecule: long non-coding RNA, 859 nt
Organism: Epinephelus fuscoguttatus (brown-marbled grouper)
Lineage: Eukaryota; Metazoa; Chordata; Actinopteri; Perciformes; Serranidae
Exons: 3
Source: RefSeq, a predicted model, not a curated record